CAGCAGCUUUUGUGGAUUAUUUCUUCUUUCUUUUCUUUUUUUUCUUUUGUAACCUUCUGAGGUGACCUUCUUUUUUCUUCAAAUCAAGGUUCCCAUUCAAAAACUCAAAGUAUUCCUGAAUCCCGAUUCUGAAUCAUGCAUGUAUGCAUGCAUGUGGAGAGCGUUGGUCAUAUACAAGGCUCUGAGGGCGGUGCCUCGAACUCUUCCACUAAGCUAGCUAUCGUAAGGGAACUUCAUCAGAGACUGUUCUAUAACUUGGAUUUAGCAAUGAUGGAUGUAUUUACAGACGAUACAAGCAUACGCCCUUGCAGUGAGCACAGCGGAAACCUAUUGUUAUUGGCAUAAAAAUCAAGUCUACAGCCAUGGUUCCUUAGAACAGCAGAUAUGGCCCUUAGAAGUAUAUGGUCUAAGAAAUCACAGAUCAGUGUAGUCAGAAUGCCUGCUUUUUGUCCUUGAAAAUGCUCUACGCUGCCGCUUCUGAAAAGGGAGAGAAACAGUAGACAUACAGCUCACAGAUAUAAAGGUCAUACAUACAUCUUUGAUUAGCGAGCUGAGUUCAGGUGAAGAAAGUGGACAAGCGGGCUUUGUCAACAUAAACAAUAAAAGGUCAUUAAAAGCAAUAGUAACUCAUAAUUAAGUAGGCCAGAUAACUGAAAACAAGCUACACAACUGGAAGCUGUUCAACAAUGCCAUUUUUCUUCUCAGCAACAUACAAAUGUUGGUUUCCUGGUGCAGUUGCAAAGUAUAGGGAUUGUCUGAUGCAAUCACCUGAGAGUCUAACCCCACCAAUGACUGCUGGUGUGACAAUGCCUUCCUCCAAAAUCCAGUCAGACACAGCAUUGCCUUGUGAAUCUAGCAACUGUAUCUCCACAGUGAUCUGCUGCCGUAUCACUGAUCCACCAGCUGUCGUUAUCUGAGUGUUUCCACCGAACCCCAUGUAGGUUGGAGGGAUGGCUAAAGCAACU
RNAcentral lists this small RNA (965 nucleotides) under Histoplasma capsulatum var. duboisii H88. Its description in RNAcentral is "Histoplasma capsulatum H88 hypothetical RNA". Lineage: Eukaryota; Fungi; Ascomycota; Eurotiomycetes; Onygenales; Ajellomycetaceae. The record is from RNAcentral.